UACGUAGGGGCCUAGCGUUGUCCGGAUUUAUUGGGCGUAAAGAGCUCGUAGGCGGUUUGGUGAGUCGGGUGUGAAAUCUCCACGCUCAACGUGGAGGAGCCACCCGAUACUGCCAUGACUAGAGUCCGGUAGGGGAGUGUGGAAUUCCCGGUGUAGCGGUGAAAUGCGCAGAUAUCGGGAGGAACACCAGUGGCGAAGGCGGCUCACUGGCCCGGUACUGACGCUGAGGUGCGAAAGCGUGGGGAGCAAACAGG
This 254-nucleotide ribosomal RNA is filed under the name uncultured bacterium. RNAcentral's name for it is "partial 16S ribosomal RNA". It matches the Rfam family "Bacterial small subunit ribosomal RNA", at positions 524 to 776 of the family's 1533-position model. The record is from RNAcentral.